Nymphaea colorata (pocket water lily) is the source of this 1219-nucleotide long non-coding RNA. RefSeq lists it as uncharacterized. Lineage: Eukaryota; Viridiplantae; Streptophyta; Magnoliopsida; Nymphaeales; Nymphaeaceae. The transcript is spliced from 3 exons. The record is from RefSeq and is a predicted model, not a curated record.
CAGCUUAAGAAGCAAAGCACAGAGUCUCCCUUUGCGCACAAGAAGCAGCGCCCCUUUGCCUCUGGUUCUUCCCAUUGCCAGUGGAAAAAACCUCGGCGACAUCUGGUUGCAGAUGUUCAUGAGGAGCGCACAUCUUCUUUUCGCAUCUACGUUGUUGCUUUGAUGUGGCAGCAUAUGGUAGCCAAAGACAAAAAGUUCAUAGAUAGUCUUGAUUAUCUUUUCAAAUGCCUCUGCUUCCCCACAUGGAAAGUGGCCACUAACGGUUAAUCAUGUUUAUACGCAACGGUACAGCAAAGUCGUCCAGUGAAAUAAGCUGGAAUUCCGCGUCAACUAGCUUAGUGAAAAUGUUUAGACCGGCCAUGCCCAUAAAAAGGUCAGGUUGCAGCAUUCACAACUAAAUAUCACCGACAUCCUCUACAUGAACAACCACAGCUUUAAUAUGGUGGCAAUGUUAUUUUGCCUAACACCGAUCUCACAACCUGAUAUGAAUUUCAAUGUAGCAUGGCAGUCUCCACAAGCAUGUAAACUCUUGAAUGUCCAAGUAGGUCUUCCUAGAACUGUGCUUAGGAUACCAAAAGCAACAACUAUCUUCUCAGUGAGUUGAAGUAAGUACUGCUUCUUUGGUUCCUCUUUUCCCAUCAUGAAGAACAAAGUUUGUAUUUGGUAUAUAUAAUACUUAUUUAAAUUUUGAGACUACUUUCUCCAGCUUGGUACUUAACGAUUUUGUUUGUGGACGAGAAGUGCUGCCAACACGGACACUUGCCAAACCAGCUUAAAUGAUUCGUGAAUGCACUUGCAGGCCAAGUUUCAAAUGUUCUGGCUUUGCGCAGGCUGAAACAACACUUGUAAACCGAUUUGAUAUGGUUUAAACCUAUCCAAAGUUCCAUGUCCGAGCACAAGUCAGCUGCCCUCUUUUGAAGACCCAGACUGAACGCAAAGAGUGAUCAUCAAAGUCCAGGCAACCCCAUUUUUUUUCAGGCAUAUCAUCAAACAGUGGGGGCGCAUUGUUCAACGAUUAGGUAGAUGAGCAAACGGAGCAGCGUCCUCGGGCUAUGCACACAGACACACAGCCCCUCUUUGCAUCGGACUAUGGCGCUUGUGAACAUCUCUUCAUGUUCAUUACAAUUGUGUCAUCAUUUUUUUUGCACGCUAUGCUCAUUUGUUAUGUGAUUUUGUUAAUUUCGCAAAGGCCAAGAUAAUUCGUGCGGUAUUUUAUUUC